Non-coding RNA from Parelaphostrongylus tenuis, 71 nucleotides. The record is from the annotation of a GenBank genome assembly. Lineage: Eukaryota; Metazoa; Nematoda; Chromadorea; Rhabditida; Metastrongylidae.
GAAUUGGUGGUUCAGUGGUAGAUUGCUCGCCUGCCCCGCGGGCAACAUGGGUUCGAUUCCCGGCUUAUGCA